CAUAUGUACGUCAUGUUGCGGAAGCUAGUUCUGUUUUAAGUUUCGUUUCGUGGCAGGUUGCUUUUAAGAUAGGUGACGUUAUCUGUGUAUAACGUAAAACAGAGAACAGGUGAUACUUACACCGUCGUUAAAUAAAACGUAAGAAGAAGGUAAUGCCUAUUGUCGCGCAGCAUGGGGAUAUUCCUGUUAAACGAAUGAACAAAGCUAAUGUUAACUAGGUAACGUUAUCUAAUUUUAGGCUACCUAGUGUCAUUAUUGCUUUAAAAUUAAUAAUCCGACUUGAUAUUCAACCAAUGUAACACUUGUUGGACCUUUGACAUGGAAAUGCAGGUUAAAACCAAAGUCAAUGAUCGCAUGAUUUCUGAAACAAACUGCGGAUCAUAUGAUGGAGCGGAAAGCAUCUCGGUGAACCCAGAACCGGAGACUAGUAUUGAUAUCGCCGCACAAUCGGUGCACUCGCGACAUUGCAGGAUAACAGUGACGGGAGAACACCCAGGAGAAUUUCAUUGCCCGGUGAAACCCGACAAUGGAGUAGAUUUAGAUAUUACAGUGAAACGCAUAUAAAAUUAAGCUCAUUGUGUUUCCACAUUGAAACUGGACCACGCGGAACAUGACACUUAUCUCUGUGCAGACCUUUCGAUUGCCGGGAGUAUUUGUAAAAAUGAGAACGAUCCAAGGGUUGUAAAGCCCGAAGCUCCGAGAAAGAAGUGCAUUGAGACUCGCAGGAAUACCGAACAGCUGGCAAGGCCCAGGAAGCGGAACCCAAAGGUGUUCCACUGUGGAAUUUUCGGCAAGCACAUUAAACAAAGUUCGAAUUUCCAGGUACGAGAGUAUAGAGCCGUGGGUCGUACCAAUACCACAUACUGUGUAAAUAUUGCAUUGCUCUAUACCAGUGGUCUCCAACCCUGGUCCUGGAGAGCUACAGGGUCUGCUGGUUUUUGUUCUCACCUUAAAAUCAGCACCCAAUUGAGACCCAAGACACCAGGGGCAUCAGCGGGUGUACAGUAAUGAGAGUCUUUACGAGUGGGGGCGACAUAGCUCAGGGGGACCAAAAGGGUUCUUAUGGUAAGCAGAAGCUGCUUUCGUUUAAGUUCGGAAGUACGUAAGCGAGAGGGGGAGAGAAAGAGGUGACCCCCCCGACCCCCCCCGUUGCGCAUGUGGGUCAUUUCUCAUCUCUUCUAUGGCUGCACAGAACCGAAGAGAAAACAUGGAGGGAGUUUGUGAAGUUGUUGUUGCAUUGGAGGACUGAGCAGAGACCCUGGCGAUAAUGGGUCCCUUUGUUUGGCAAGACUUUGCCGACGGAACGAGAGAGAAGUCUCUCGGCAUCUGUGGAUUACGUUAAGUUCACUCAGCGGACGAUCUUAUCCGGACGGGCCUACAAAACGUGGAAAACACCAGUGUUACUCUGUGGACAAUGUCACCAAGAAGGCACCGAAGAUCCUUUCAUGACAGUAAGUGUAAAAAGUUAGCCAAACGAACCAAAAAUAAAGCAUUAUAAAGCA
This is a long non-coding RNA of Anguilla rostrata (American eel), 1502 nucleotides long. RefSeq lists it as uncharacterized. Lineage: Eukaryota; Metazoa; Chordata; Actinopteri; Anguilliformes; Anguillidae. The record is from RefSeq and is a predicted model, not a curated record. The transcript is spliced from 3 exons.